Molecule: ribosomal RNA, 285 nt
Filed under: Chromobacterium aquaticum
Lineage: Bacteria; Pseudomonadati; Pseudomonadota; Betaproteobacteria; Neisseriales; Chromobacteriaceae
Description: partial 16S ribosomal RNA
Rfam family: Bacterial small subunit ribosomal RNA
Source: RNAcentral
CCCGCAACGAGCGCAAUCCUUGCCAUUAGUUGCCAUCAUUAAGUUGGGCACUCUAAUGGGACUGCCGGUGACAAACCGGAGGAAGGUGGGGAUGACGUCAAGUCCUCAUGGCCCUUAUGACCAGGGCUUCACACGUCAUACAAUGGUCGGUACAGAGGGUCGCGAAGCCGCGAGGUGGAGCCAAUCUCAUAAAACCGAUCGUAGUCCGGAUCGCACUCUGCAACUCGAGUGCGUGAAGUCGGAAUCGCUAGUAAUCGCAGAUCAGCAUGCUGCGGUGAAUACGUU